ACUAUACCUUCUCCAUUUAAACAUUUAAAACCCUAACACUAUGUUCGCGAGUCUCAUUUAACAGGGGAAGGUGAAAGAAAAUUCUCUCCUAAUCUCUCCAAUUUGGGAGGAUGAAUAUAUGGUCAUAUUUGGUCAUAUUUUCUUUCCUUUUCCCUCCCCUCCCCUGUUAAAUGAGACUUGUGAACAGAGUGUAAAUCCUCAAAUUUGCACCACUUCUGAACUAAAUACCCAAAUUCUUCCAAAUUCCGAUCGUGUCGCGGAAAAAAAAUCUAGUGGAUCGUCAAUCAUCUGGAGCAUCUUUCAACGGUCAAUUUCAUCGUCCGGUAAGUUCCGUUCCUUCACAAUCUCAUCAUCAUCGUCCUCUGCCUUUUUUUUCCGACGAGAUCCACAUCUCCGACGAGAAUCCAAUGUCACAUGCAGUUCCGAACCCUUACUCUCUCUCUCUCUCUCUCUCUCUCUCUCUCUAAGCCACCAGAACCAACGACGACACACCACAACGUACUCACCGGAGCUUCGUCCGCCAGAAAAUCCACCGAUCCAAUCGUCUCUGCAUAACCGUCUCCGUACAGUCGACCAAAACUCAAAAGUUCUAUGGAAACAAUGGAAACACCUGUUUUGGAGGUCCGAAGCGAAACAAAACAAACGCUUGUAGCGGAAUUAGGGCAAAAUGUUGAUGAAAUAGUCGUGAAAGUUGGUGAGGUCUAGCAGAGUUUAAGGAGCUUUUCGGGACCUUUACGGGUCACCGGGACGAAAAACGAACUAACGGGCCGCGAAACGAGUCAACCGGACUCAAGAAAUGAAAAAAAAAACAGAAAGAUGGGAUUCCAGACACCGUCACCGACGCCCACAUGGACCGUCGCCGACGGUAUGUGUAAAGCUCCGUAGUCCGUUUUGUCCGUAGACAGCAAGUUUGGCCGUCGGCCAUAUCAACAAAAGCAUGCACCGUCGCCGACGGGGCUUCAGGCCGUCGGCGACGGCUCCCCUAUCUUGCAAACGCGAAAUUGUUGACUUUUUGGGUUUUGGACGAAUCAAAACAUGGGGGUCAUCAUUAUGGAGUUACACAUCCUUGGAGUUUUUGAAAGUGAUCUUGGAGCCAAGACCAACAAUUUAACAUCACCAAUUCACCAUCCAUCAUCACUAUCACCCGAAUCAUAAUCCGAAUCAUCACCAUCUUUCACAAUCAUCAAUCCAUCACUAACCCUAAUCACCUAUACAUGAUCUCUAUCAUCAUCAUUCACCAAAACCCUCAACAUCCAUCACUUCCCCAUCAUUCAAGCUUCAAGAUUUUCCAAGUCAUGUCCCAAUCAUCCGGUGAUCGAGUUUCUUCACCCGGUGUAGGUAGUUGUUAAAUUUAGGGUUUUGAAUUGUUCUUGAUUCAACUUUGUGACAACUUGUAUUGAUUUUUGAAACCUUUGACAAUAGUUUACAUUUGUUUCGUA
Long non-coding RNA from Helianthus annuus (common sunflower), 1439 nucleotides. RefSeq lists it as uncharacterized. The record is from RefSeq and is a predicted model, not a curated record. Lineage: Eukaryota; Viridiplantae; Streptophyta; Magnoliopsida; Asterales; Asteraceae. The transcript has 2 exons.